AUAAAUAUAAUAUAAAUUUGAUUCUGGUUUUAAAAAUAUUUUUAUGAUAAUUUUUAAAUAUGUAAGUUUUUGCGUGAUAAGUGUUGUUAAAAUUAUUUAAAUAGUAAUUUUAACUUUUAAUGAAUAGAUUCGCAGUUUUUAUUUUUAUGGUUUAUUUAAUAAUUUAGGACAUAGUUAAUUAUAAAAUAACUAGCUAAAAUUGUGCCAGCAGCUGCGGUUAUACAAUUAGUUAAAAUUAUUAUUAUUAGGUUAAUUAUUAUUUAUAUAAAUUCUUGAUUAUUAAAUUUAAUUUUUUAGGUGAAAUUUAAAAUUUAUAUUUAAUGUUUGGUUAUAUAUUUAAUUAUAAGAAAUUCUUAUUUUAAACUAGGAUUAGAUACCCUAUUAUUUGGAAUGUAAAUGUUUAUCUUAGUAUUAUUAGUUAAGAUCUUUAAAUUGAAAGAAUUUGACGGUAACUUAAAUCAUUUUAGAGGAACCUGUUCUGUAAUCGAUGAUCCACGAUGAAUUUUACCUUUAAUUAAAUUUUAAAAUUUAAAGUUUGUAUAUCUCUGUCUGAUUGAGUGUUUUAUUAGAAUAAUUCUCUUUAAUUUUUUUAAAAAUUUAUGUCAGGUCAAGGUGCAGCUAAUUUAAAGGUUUGAAAUGGGUUACAUUUAAGUUUUAAUUAUUGAAUUAAUAUUUAUUUAUUUAAUUUAUGAAAUUGGAUUUAAUUGUAAUUGAUAAAAUAUAUUAUCUAUGAUAUAUGUUCUUGGUUAAGUACACAUCGCCCGUCGCUCUCAUUAUAAGAUGAGAUAAGUCGUAACAAAGUAGUUCUAUCGGAAGAUGGAGCUGGAAUUAUA
RNAcentral lists this non-coding RNA (833 nucleotides) under Brachymna tenuis. Lineage: Eukaryota; Metazoa; Arthropoda; Insecta; Hemiptera; Pentatomidae. The record is from RNAcentral.